AAUCAACGCUGGCGGCGUGCCUAACACAUGCAAGUCGAACGAGAAGGUGACUUCGGUCACUGGAUAGUGGCGUCCGGGUGAGUAACACGUAGGUAAUCUACCUUCGGGUGGGGAAUAACGUCUCGAAAGAGACGCUAAUACCGCAUAAUGCAGCGGCACCUAAUGGUGAUUAGUUGUUAAAGCGGGGGAUCUUCGGACCUCGCGCCUGAAGAGGAGCCUGCGGCAGAUUAGCUAGUUGGUGAGGUAAUGGCUCACCAAGGCUUCGAUCUGUAGCUGGUCUGAGAGGACGGCCAGCCACACUGGCACUGACACACGGGCCAGACUCCUACGGGAGGCAGCAGUGGGGAAUUUUGGGCAAUGGGCGAAAGCCUGACCCAGCAACGCCGCGCGAAGGAUGAAAUCUUUCGGGAUGUAAACUUCGGAAGAAUAGGAAAGAAAAAUGACGUACUAUUUUAAGGUCCGGCUAACUACGUGCCAGCCGCCGC
Molecule: ribosomal RNA, 485 nt
Filed under: uncultured bacterium
Lineage: Bacteria
Description: bacterial SSU rRNA
Rfam family: Bacterial small subunit ribosomal RNA
Source: RNAcentral